AGAGUUUGAUCAUGGCUCAGAUUGAACGCUGGCGGUAGGCUUAACACAUGCAAGUCGUGCGAGAAAGUAUCUUCGGAUAUGAGUAGAGCGGCGGACGGGUGAGUAACGCGUAGGAAUCUACCUAGUAGAAGGGGAUAGCCCGGGGAAACCCGGAUUAAUACCGUAUACCUCCUUCGGGAGAAAGAAGGCCUCUCUUUGAAGCUUUCGCUACUAGAUGAGCCUGCGUAAGAUUAGCUUGUUGGUGAGGUAAAGGCUCACCAAGGCGACGAUCUUUAGCUGGUCUGAGAGGACGAUCAGCCACAUUGGGACUGAGACACGGCCCAGACUCCUACGGGAGGCAGCAGUGGGGAAUAUUGGACAAUGGGCGCAAGCCUGAUCCAGCCAUACCGCGUGUGUGAAGAAGGCCUUCGGGUUGUAAAGCACUUUAAGCAGGGAGAAAAAGUUAUAAGUUAAUACCUUAUAACCCUGAUGUUACCUGCAGAAUAAGCACCGGCUAAUUCCGUGCCAGCAGCCGCGGUAAUACGGAAGGUGCAAGCGUUAAUCGGAAUUACUGGGCGUAAAGCGCGCGUAGGUGGUUUGUUAAGUUGGAUGUGAAAGCCCUGGGCUCAACCUAGGAACUGCAUCCAAAACUAACUCACUAGAGUACGAUAGAGGGAGGUAGAAUUCAUAGUGUAGCGGUGGAAUGCGUAGAUAUUAUGAAGAAUACCAGUGGCGAAGGCGGCCUCCUGGAUCUGUACUGACACUGAAGUGCGAAAGCG
This 758-nucleotide ribosomal RNA is filed under the name uncultured marine bacterium. RNAcentral's name for it is "bacterial SSU rRNA". It matches the Rfam family "Bacterial small subunit ribosomal RNA", at positions 8 to 761 of the family's 1533-position model. The record is from RNAcentral.